Long non-coding RNA from Crotalus tigris (Tiger rattlesnake), 5545 nucleotides. RefSeq lists it as uncharacterized. The record is from RefSeq and is a predicted model, not a curated record. The transcript is spliced from 4 exons. Lineage: Eukaryota; Metazoa; Chordata; Lepidosauria; Squamata; Viperidae.
UUAACAUAUGUUGAUGGAAAAAAAAUUAAUAAAAAAGAUUGUUAAAAAAAAUAAAACAAGUUCUGUUCAUUCUUGUUAAAGAGUGUUAAUGUUAUUUUUUAGUAUUACUAUUCCAAAUUUUAUCAAUGGAACUUUGGGGAAGUUAUGAAAUACUAAUUAUGUUUAAAAGUGUCUUUCAUGUAUGCAUUAUUUUUUAUAAACAUAUUCCUAUCAUAGCUGUCCUAUAUUCUUUACAUUGCAAAUUAUUUUUCCCUUCCCAUUAACAUUUCAAAAGAAGUUAAAUAAACAUUAAAUACAGAUCACCACCUCUGUAACAAAUCAGAAAAUCAGAUUUAAAUAAGACUGACUACAUCGAAGAUUAUUGUAAUCUUCCCAUCGAUUCCCAUUAGUUUACAAAAUUUAUAAAAAAAAUCCUUAAAACAAAAUAAUUAUGCUGCUCUUUUUAUUGAAUUCAUCACUUUAGUAUUGCAUAAAUGCCACUUAGUUAAUACAGUAAUUUAAAUUACCCAUGAAGUUACCUUCAUUAAUAUGCAGAUGAAUUAAAUAUUAUUGUACACAUCCUUUGCUUCUUUAUAUUUUCAACUUUAAUGAAAUUAAAAAUUCUUCACCAAUCUAGAUGAAAAUACAUUCAAAUAUUUGAGUGGCAAUCAGCCAUAUUCCCAUGCAUAAUUGAAAAUGCUAGUUAUAAUUUCUAAUGCCAGAUAUCGCUUAGGAGCAUGGAGCCUAGAAUACUGCAUGUUCUAACCCCAUUUUUUCUGACCUUUUAGAUAUGUGUAAGAUGCUUUGCUUUGCUGUCAAAUGUUCAUUGUGUGAAAACAUGGGAGUCUUCUUAGAUACGAUAUUCAGCCUGGAGAACUCCCUAUCAAAGGAUAUCAAACUAGUUCCUAACAUGACAUCUUUCUAUUUACAUGCAAAACAAUUUUUACUUAGGUAGGUCUUGAUAUAAGUAGAUAUGUUUUUCAUCGAUUUGCACUAUGAAAUUUUAAAUUCUAAAAGCUCCCUAUGUGAUGGAAAUUAAUUUAUUAAAAAAGAGAGUCUCUUAAGAACAAAUAUUAAAUUUGUUUACAUAAAAAAUGGACUGUUGUAUGAAAGUGCUCACCUUAACUUUGCCAUAAUGAAAGUAUUUAAUAUCAGUAUUUCUGUCAGAUACAUUGUUUUUAUUUACAGUUCUUAUGUACCUUGGUCUGAGCUGGCUUAGGUUAGGAGACUCUGGACAAUAUACCCUUUGUGGAUUCCCUUGUAUAUGUGGCAAUGGUUCCACUCAUCCUUUCAAUUUUUCCUAGUACCUAAGAACAACAUUUGAUUUGUCUAUAAUUGCUGAGAAUAUUAAGGGGACUACAUUGUCAAUGGAAUUUGUUAGAAGUCUGAACUUCAAUUCAUUUCUUUUGGAGAAUAAUAAAUUUAGGUGGCAGUGGCACGUUAGCUUGUUUUCCUGAUCUGGAGAAUAACGGAGGCUAGGACUAGAAUUAAGAUUAUAAUAGUAAAGGCAGAAAUAAAGAAUAAUGAUAGAUAUCAGGCCAUAAAUUCUGCAUUUCUGAUUAAACAUGCAUAGUUUUGACUUAUUUGGCAGGCUGAGUAUUCAAAAUGAAUUCACGAAAACAUUUGGAUUUACAAGAUAACAAAACAAUAUUGUACAACCAAACAAAACAAAGCAAACGUAAUGCAUAAAUGUCAGAUUUACUUUGGGUUCAUUACACACAGAGCUACAGGGCCUCAAUUUAAAACAGGAUAUGGGCUGAGUUUGUUUUCAAAAUUAAGAGUAAUUUUUUUUAAAGUUUAAUUAACAUUAACUCCAGUUUCCAUAUUUUCCUCAGCUUAUAGAGAAAGAAUUAUAGAAAAAUAGGGGAAUUUAGGGGGGAAAGUGACAUUCUAAGUGUAAUAGAAAAUAAAUUACCGACUUUCUUGGAAGGUCUGCCCUUGUACAAACAAGGUUCCUUUUUACAGAUGAACAGGGCUAGAUUUAGACCGGCAUCCGACUCCAGUGUAGCGUUGCCAGGCUGAGAGGGCACUGAACUUGGAAAACACCUGUUGUGGGAUGUGCAUGCAACCAUCAAUUCAACAGCUGAAACAAAUGGUACAUGCAGUUUAUCUUUAUUUGUAAAUCUGACAGCACCUGUCUGACUGGAUAACAGUGCUUUCAAUGUCCGUCCUUCCUUCCUUUCUUUCUUUCUUUCUUUCUUUCUUUCUUUCUUUCUUUCUUUCUUUCUUUCUUUCUUUCUUUCUUUCUUUCCUUCCUUGAAAAAUAUGAUUUGUGCGAAAACAUACAGGAUUGGUGACAAUGCAAAAAUCCUAUGAGAGUGAAUCAGAUUCUGGCAAGCUAUUUAUUGUCAUCUAUGAUGGAGCCAUAUCUAACAGGCCAAUUGUGAAUCAGAGUAUUAAAAGGCUACAAAAACAAUAAGUAAAAUUUAAUAAAUAUUGAAGACGCCAAGGCACUUUCCUGGAACUUUAUAUAGCUUAUAUAUGCAUUUUUUCAACUGGUGUUCUCCAAUAAGUCAGGUCUGUAAAAUCCAUAGUCCCAGCUACUGUAUCAUGACCUAGAGUAAGUUAAUCUAAAGAACUUAUUUAUUUUUGUGUCUAAUGUUGACUGCUGGCAACUGCCAGUACUGCCUGUAGUUUUCUUGGGAAGGUUUUUCAGAAGUGGUUUACCAUUGUCUUGUAAGGUCCCAGUCCCUUAUGUGAACUUGAGAUAUUAUAUCAAUCUAAUCGUAUAACCCAAGUGGAGACUUCUUGAUCAAGCAGCACUUUAUUUGAUCAAAUUAAGCAGCUGGGUGGCCAACAAUCUGGAACGCUGGCAGAGUUACAUCCAGAAGUGCCACACCUUAGUAGCAUUGCUUUAUAAACUUUGUUAAUCAGACAACAGAGCCAUUACAUCAUAAGGAAGACAUCAUUCAUUCCUGUACACUCCCUUAUUCCCUCCUUCAGUACAUCCCAUCCAUGUAUAUGGUUCUCAUGCCUGCAUGAGAUUUCCUUGGUGCAAAAGCCGAUUAUAAAAUGCAAGAAAGCAACAGUUAGACUAAACAAUUUCCCUUUGUUCCAGAACCUUUCAGUCUUCUUCCUGGAACUGAGAGGGUGUGACUGGCCCAAGGUCACCCAAUUGAAUUUGUGCCUGAAGGAAGAUUAGAACUCAUGGUCUCCCAGUUUCUAAUCUGAUGCCUUAACAACUACACCAAAUUAGCUCUCUUCUCAGUGGUACUUAUGGUUAAACACAUUUGGAUAUGUAAAGCCAAUCAGUGUAAGUCUGCCAUUAAUAUUUUGUCAUAAUCUAGACUAGCAUUAUUUUUCUUCCAUUCAUUCAUGUCUGAUUCUCAGAAAUUGCCUGGAGAAGUCCCUGCAGUUUUUUUUGGCAAGGUUUUUCACAAGUGGUUUGCCAUUGUCUCCUUCCUAGGGCUGAGAGAACAUGACUGACCUGAGGCCAGACAGCUCUCUUUCUAAGGGUCUGCAACCAAGCUAUUAUUUUCUUACUAUAUUAGUAACUCUGAUCUUCAUUAUUAUCAGCUUAUUGACUCCUUGCUAAAAUCUUGACCUUACUGGGCUUUAGACAUGUUUUUAAUGAAGAUCAUUUAAUGGAAAAUGGUGUUCUUAAUAAAACAGAAUGAUUAUAUGUAUAUAUAGAAUAUUGAGUUUUUUAAAAAAAUAAUCUUCACUACCUCAAGGGCACUAGUAAUAAAUCAUGGGAGAAAUUGCAUGACAAUCUUCUUCUUUAUGUUUAUUUAGAUUUUAUUUAUGUAUUUAUUUAUAUUUAUAAAAUAUUUGUAACAUGUAUUGGCCACCCAUCUUACCUCAAGGUAACUCUGGGUGGAGUUUAUUUGAUUCUAAAUUGGAUUUCCUACUACUGAAAAUAUGACAUAUAAGACAAACAAGGUUAAUUAACUUCACAAUUUCAUCAACAAAAGCCACAUUGUUUACUAAUAAUUAAUGGCAUAUUAUAUUUAAUAUGAAAAGGAAGCAAUAUAGAAAUGUAUUGCUCCUAAAUUAAAUAUUCAUCUUUCCUAGUCUGUUAAAUGAUUUGUUACUAUAUAUUUAGAAAUACUUGUGUUAAAAUUGGCAGCUUUUAUUUUCUGCUUUCUAGUACAGUAUUCUUUGGCUUGGAUAUAAUCUUUUCUUGUUAAACUUUCUAAAAAGAAGCAGGAGAGAAUAAACUCUCUGAUUUGGAUCCUAACUUCAUUGUGAUUUGUCUGUCAGUUCACUGGAUUCAAAAUCUUCCAUCACAAUUAACACCAGAUUUCCUUCUCCUUGAAUGCUCACAAGGUUCUCCAGUGAUGGCUUUUCAGUGUGAAGACCUGGAACAAGAGGAUGAAUUCAAUAGCAAUCCAAAUUGGUGAAUGAAGACUAUUCUUAGGCUAUUGUGCUGUUGUGUAGAUCAAAGUUCCUGAACCUGGGGCCUUCCAGUUGCAUCCUUAGAACUGCUGGGACUUAUGUUGAAAAACACCUGAAGGCCACCAAACUGGAAAAGAAAAGUUUAUGCUAGCUUAUGUCAUCAUGAGGUUUAUAGAGAAAAAAGUCCAGAUGGAAUAGCUGCACAAUAUUUUGUAACGCUAGGAGCUUUCAUGUUGGUAUAUUUCAUGCUACCUAUUUCAAUAUUCACAUCCUGUCUGACCAUAAUGCUGAAUUUUAAUGGCAUGAUUGCUGCAAAUAAGUAACAUCAUUCCCACUAAAUUAAGACAGAAAAUGCUGAAACUGGGUAAAAUACUAAAAUGGAAUUAAAAAGCAAACAAACUCCAAAUCUUGAAAGACAUUAAAGAACCAUGGUCUCACUUAUGCAUUGAAAUGACUCUACUCACUUUGCCAUCUGUAUUCAAUCCUUUUUCAAAGAAAUAUGAGACACACCAUGUGAAAAACUGUAUGAUAAAUUUAAUCCAUAUUAGUGAUAAAGAGCUCCCCUCCUCAACUUCACACCUGAUUGAUUACAAGAGAGAUACAUUAUAUACCAUUCAGUCUCAGAUCAAUGGCCAAUAUACAACCUCAGCAGCUGACUAUCAGCUAUGUUGGGGCUGAAUGAAGUGCAGAAGCAUUAUUAGUGUUUUAUUUCAAUAGUCCAUGCAGUUGGGAUCAAAAUCAGCAAGAGGACAGAUGUAGUGCCGUGAUGCAGCCCUAUUUCUGAUGUUCAUGGGACAACAUUGUUUGUACAUUGAAAAGGGUAGAGCUUGUAUCAGAGCUUUUAUCAAUUGUGUUCCAUCUGCCAAGCAGCAGAAGCUGAGGGAUUUCUUAUUGAUGGUAGAUUAUUGGGUGAGUGAAUGAAUGAAACAUUAAUUGCCAUUAAUGUUAAGUAUUAGAUAUUUCUACUCUACAGAGCUUUAGGAUAUAAACACACGUAUGUGAAUAUGUGUGCAUAUGUCUGAAAUUUACUAUUUAUGCUUGCAUAUUACUUACUCCAUAGAUUAUAGGCAAUUAUAAAUCUAAAAUUAUCAAAUUAUUCAAAUUGAUAUAAAGGUAUUUAUAAGAGAGGAAAGAAGGUUUUCAAAACAUGGCAGAUAAGGACUAGAUAACACUUCAGCUUUAUCUCUUAAGAGAGGCAUCAGGCCAUUGAUUAUGAAAUCUUGGAGAA